GGUGAGUAACACGUGGAUAACCUGCCCGAUGCACCGGGAUAACAGGCCGAAAGGCUUGCUAAUACCGGAUAAGCUCACGGGGGCGCAUGCCCUUGGGAGAGAAGGCGCUGCAAGGCGUCGGGAUCGGAGGGAUCCGCGGCCCAUUAGCUAGUUGGGGGGGGUAACGGCCCACCAAGGCGACGAUGGGUAGCCGGCCUGAGAGGGCGAACGGCCACACUGGGACUGAGACACGGCCCAGACUCCUACGGGAGGCAGCAGUCGGGAAUUUUGCGCAAUGGCCGCAAGGCUGACGCAGCAACGCCGCGUGAGUGAAGAAGGCCUUCGGGUUGUAAAGCUCUGUUGCCCGUGACGAACCCCCGUGGCAGGAAAUGGCGACGGGCUGACGGUAGCGGGAGAGGAAGCCCCGGCUAACUACGUGCCAGCAGCCGCGGUAAUACAUAGGGGGCGAGCGUUGUCCGGAUUUAUUGGGCGUAAAGGGCGUGUAGGCGGCCUGUUAAGUCAGGGGUGAAAGACCGGGGCUCAACCCGGGUACUGCCUCUGAAACUGGGAGGCUUGAGUGCUCUAGAGGGUAGUGGAAUUGCCGGUGUAGCAGUGAAAUGCGUAGAGAUCGGCAGGAACACCAGUGGCGAAGGCGACUGCCUGGGGAGCAACUGACGCUGAGGCGCGAAAGCUGGGGGAGCAAACGGGAUUAGAUACCCCGGUAGUCCCAGCCGUAAACGAUGAGUGCUAGGUGUGGCGGGUAUCGACCCCUGCCGUGCCGGCGUUAACGCAAUAAGCACUCCGCCUGGGGAGUACGGCCGCAAGGUU
RNAcentral lists this ribosomal RNA (807 nucleotides) under uncultured bacterium. Its description in RNAcentral is "bacterial SSU rRNA". It matches the Rfam family "Bacterial small subunit ribosomal RNA", at positions 105 to 895 of the family's 1533-position model. The record is from RNAcentral.